AUUUAUUUCUGCAUUAAACAGUAUGUACACUGUGCACAGUAUGUGAGGGUUUUUUUUGUAUAUGAGACGACACUAUAAAAAAAUAAGGGGAUCUGUUAACACAACUUACUGUCAAUAACUGCAUGGUUGCAAUUUGCAAAUUAAAAAUUCUAUUCAAUUUGCAAACAUUAUUUUGAUGAGUGCGGUUUACAUGAUAAUGUUGAUGUGUGUGCUUAUAUCAAAAAGUGAACUGAUGAUGUUACAGUCACCAAGACCAUCACCACACGUGCAAACCAAAAGCCGUGGCUGACAGCAGAGGUUCAUGGCCUGCUAAAGACCAGAGAUGAAGCAUUCAGAUCAGGAGACAAAGCAGCCCUCAAAACAGCAAGAGCCAAUCUGUCCUGUGGCAUCAAAAAUGCAAAACGGUCAUAUGCUCAAAAAAUCAACAAUCACUUCACAGACAGCAGAGACACACGGAGCCUGUGGCAAGCCAUUCAGACCAUCACAGACUACAAGCCCCCGCCACAGGCCUGUGAUGACGACACAUCCCUCCCGGAUGCACUCAACCACUUUUAUUCACGGUUUGAAAUGCAGAAUGACACACCUGCACAAAAACUGCCCAUACCUCCCAACGACCAGGUGCUCUGUCUGUCUCCAGCCGACGUAAGGAAGACCCUAUCUAGGAUUAACCCACGCAAGGCUGCUGGACCUGACGACAUACCUGGCCAUGUACUGAAAGACUGUGCUGCACAGCUGACAGAAGUCCUAACAGAUAUCUUCAACACCUCGCUGAGCCAGACAGUCGUCCCCACGUGUCUCAAAUCCACAACCGGUACCAAAAAAAUCACCUGUGUCCUGUCUAAACGACUACCGUCCCAUAGCGCUGCCUCCAAUCGUGAUGAAGUGCUUUGAGAGACUCCAGCUGAAGGUGCGGCUGCUGUUUCUCUGGAUCUGGAAGGAGUUGGUGGAUGUUGGGUGUGUGAAGGUCAGCAGGUCCAGUCCUCAGCAGCGUCUUACGAUGAAGAUCUUCAUGCUGGACUCUGGAGAAACACCUGCGAUCUGCUGGGCCUCCAGGACUCACGCUUUGUUUAACAGAGUUCCUUCACGUUUGUAAACCGGACUAACAUCAGCGGAACUGAAGGUGGACGUCGAUCAGAUGCAGCGCAAAUGAACGAUUGACAAUCUCAUACCGGAGAACUGUGACCGACGGAGGAAAUCGAUGAAGAGUCAUGUAGCUCCUCUGUCCUAUUAUCUCUGGUUCUUCUGAAGGGCUCGGCGCUGUUGAAGGAUCUUCCCUCACUGUGAGUGUUUCUGUCAUGUGACCUUCCAGACGGUACAAAAAAAAGCUUCUUUCCACCAAAAUUUCCUGCAAAGUGCUGCUGUAGUUCAUUCUCUUCACACAAACCUCUGCUGCGUUUGCUCGAGCUCCCGCUCUCUAUUAUUAACCAAUAACAAACACUCAUUUUACCUUCUUGAAAGUCAACAUGACGGACUCAUUUACAUAUAAACAUGCUCUUAUUGUGAAUGAUUCAUCAGUGCACGUUAUUUCAAGUAAAUAAUGUCUGUCUUUGUAAUUGUUCAGCUCCAGCUAACAUAGAACGUUCCCAUAACAUUUUUUAAAGGUUAUGCAAAUGUCAUGACAGACAUUAAUAAAAUAAUGUUUAUGGAACGUCCUGAUAAUGUUUUUAAUAUUUGUUCUCAUAAUGUUGAGAGAAGUCUUCAGAACUUCAUGUUCAAUAACAUUCAUCAGUAACAACAACCGAAGAUUUCAUAGUGUUUUCAAAAUGAUAACAUGGACUGUUCCUCUAACGUUUGCAUAACCAAGAAAUGUUCUUAAUACAUAAACAAACAAACAAACUGGAUGUUUUGAACGUUUAUAAACAUUCAGAAGUAGUUUUCAUAACAGUUUCAAAAUGAUCAAAUGGAAUGUUUCUCUAACAUUUGCAAACCCAAGAAAAAAAGUCCUUUAACUAUAAAAAAAGAGAACAUUUAAAGGGGUCAUAGGAUGUUGCUAAAAAGAACAUUAUUUGGUGUAUUUGGUGUAAUGAAAUGUGUUUAUGCGGUUUAAGGUUAAAAAAAACACAUUAUUUUCCACAUACUGUACAUUAUUGUUUCUCGUCUAUGCCCCGCCUUCUGAAACGCUUCGAUUUUCACAAAGCUCAUCUCUCUGAAAAGCGAGGUGUGCUCUGAUUGGCCAGCUAUCCAGCGCAUUGUGAUUGGCCGAAUGCCUCAAGCGUGAGACGGAAAUUUUAUGCCCCUUAACAUAUUGUAUUAGCCUGUCCGGCCGGAGCGACGAGACAUAAACAUAAAACCCAUUAUAAACGUGAUAUAAACAUGAUUUCUAGUCGUGUUUUAUUUUGGAAGGCCAAACAAAGUAGUUUCGAUUUCUCAAUGAAACAGCAUCACACACGCCUUGAGUGAGAGGCGGGCGGCUUGAGGUGGAUUCUACGAAGGAGCGUACCUUGGUCGAUUUGGCGAUCCAUAGUUCAAAGUUGAUGUAUUUCCUCAGUGACCAGCACGGAUCAGCUCCAGGCAUGACGAAGCGGAUAUCGUCCUCUUUUGGAAGGCCAAACAAAGUAGUUUCUCUUUCACAGUGAAACACACAGCAUCUAUACGACAUGCGGCGGCUGCAACAACAAUACUACAACAAGAAUAAAAGGUACGCCUUCUUCCUUUGUGUGAACAUUUGGGUGGUGUUAUGCAAAUCUUCCCACAUAGUGAUGUAGAGAUGUGGGGGCGUGUUAGAACGAGCCGUUUCAGGAGGGCGUGGAUGAGUGUUAACUUUUAUAAAGAAUAUCUAUUUGGAUUUCAGACUUUAGUCUUUGCAACUUUACAGAUCUUCUUUAUUUACCAAGAGCUUGUAACACUCCAAAGAGAAAGGAAAAAUUUAAAUAGCAUCAUAUGACUCCUUUAAAUGUAACAUUCUCAUAAUGUUUUUGAAAGUGAUAGAAUGUAACAAUCCUCUAACAUUUGCAUAACCGAGAAGAAACAUAAAAAUGGGUUUUAAACCUUUAGAGAACAUUUAAAUGUAACAUUCUCGUAACGUUUGCUAAAUGAUAAAUGGAAUGUUCCUCUAACGUUCACAAAACUAAGAAACAAGUUAUUUAAACAUAAAUAUUAAGAAUUUUUAACAUUGAGAGAACAUUUAAAUGUAAUUUUUUCACAAUGAUUUCAAAAUAAUAAAUGGAAUGUUCCUCUAAUGUUCGCAAAACUACAGUAAGUUCCUUAAAUAUUAUAAAAAUGUUUUUUUAAAUGUUAAGAGGAAGUUCCCAUGUAACGUUCUCAUAACGUUUUCUAAAUGAUAGAAUGGAAAGUUUCUCUAACGUUCACAUAACCAAGACGAAACGUUCUUAAUGCAUAAUGUUUUCACAUUUAAAAAUCACUCAGAAAUAAUGUGAAAAAUUUAAUGGGAAUGUUGGCAAAACGUUGUUGGAACGUCUUUUGUUAGAUAGUCUAAACUGUUUAUCGUUAUGGUUACGAAACAGCGUUUCAUGUAUAUUUUUACUGUGGUAAAAUCACUGUACUGCACAACCUAAUGUGCUUUUUUAAAACAACAUGAUCAAAUAAACCGAAGUUCAAUCAAUAGGUACAUUUAUUAACAUUGAUAACUAGGUGAUCAGAUAUUCCACCAAGUGUAUUGUUCAUAAAUGCGAUGUUUCGGUUCUCAAGCAGCAGAAACUCGAUGCAUUAAAACAAUAUAAUUUGCAUUUACAUUUACAUUGACUUCAACAGGAUUCUGAGCGAUUCUUUUAUAAGCAACUGUAAUACGCUACAUCAUUUUAUGAAAACAUCCAUAUUUUCAUGUUCAGAACUCUUGUAAAGAAGAGCUCAUUUUACCUUCAUAUUUAUAGAAAGAAAGCUGUUAUUCUCUUUGAACUUUAUCAGAGAAUAUACCACUGUAAAAGAGUGACUGAGAUGGAUUUAUUGAUGAUGAUUAACUCUCAAACAAUUCAUGAUGUCUGAACAAACGCUCCAUUUCUUUCUGAAAUGCAGAAGUAUGACAAGCACAUAUCCAAAGGAUUUUUAUUAUAUCACAUUCACGUUUAAUGGUGCAAAAUGCACAAUUAUACUUACUUAUAAUUGAUUGACUGUCCUUUAAACACAAACACACAAAAAUCUAAGAAACUGAAAUGAAUCUUGGAAUGACUGACGCUGAAUAUUCAUUGAUAAAUCUGCCUGAAAUAAUAACAACAUUGCAUCUUCUGUGUUGUAUGCAGGUUUUGUUUUUUGUUUCAGGUCUGCUGUGUGAUAUUGAUUACUGUAGCUGUUAUUAAUAUUCUGUACUCUGAUGUCAGUGUUGUGUGUCGUGUUCACAUGCGUUUAUUUUCUUCAUGUUUCAGAAGAAAACUUGCACUGUAAAAAAGAAGAGAUUUGCUAAAGGCUUUUAUGACUGAUGAUCUUGCAUAUGAGAUUCAGCACAUUUUGUUUUUUAAGAGUUAUGCAUCAUUGCUGAAUUAUAAUAUUCAUGAUUAUGUCAUAAUCUGGUUUCUGUAGUCACUGUGAUUCUGAACAUGUUCAGUGUUUUUCUUACAGAUGUGCUUUGAUUCGUUUGUUGUUUAUGAAGUCAUGAUUACCCAUGAGCCUCUUUCUCUGAGCCAAUUCACAUGCAAUAACUGGUAAAUAUACCAACACUUGUUUUUUUCUCUGUGAUGAAAAAGUGA
Molecule: long non-coding RNA, 4640 nt
Organism: Cyprinus carpio carpio
Lineage: Eukaryota; Metazoa; Chordata; Actinopteri; Cypriniformes; Cyprinidae
Source: Ensembl